RNAcentral lists this ribosomal RNA (354 nucleotides) under uncultured Coriobacteriales bacterium. RNAcentral's name for it is "bacterial SSU rRNA". It matches the Rfam family "Bacterial small subunit ribosomal RNA", at positions 1 to 339 of the family's 1533-position model. The record is from RNAcentral. Lineage: Bacteria; Bacillati; Actinomycetota; Coriobacteriia; Coriobacteriales.
AGUAGUUUGAUCAUGGCUCAGGACGAACGCUGGCGGCGUGCUUAACACAUGCAAGUCGAACGGGGAUUAGAUGAUUGAGAGCUUCGGCAGGAUUGAUUCUAAUUCUAGUGGCGGACGGGUGAGUAACGCGUGAACAAUCUGUCCCAGACAGGGGGAUAACACUUGGAAACAGGUGCUAAUACCGCAUAAGACCACGGGAUCGCAUGGUUCUGGGGUAAAAACGGGCAACCGGGUUUGGGGUGAGUUCGCGUCCGAUUAGAUAGUUGGUGAGGUAACGGCCCACCAAGUCGACGAUCGGUAGCCGACCUGAGAGGGUGAUCGGCCACAUUGGAACUGAGAGACGGUCCAAACUCC